AUUUCAAGCACGGAUCGACGUCAAGAAGGACACAAGAAGCUUUAGAUUGUCUUCACGAAGCUCGGAGAAGAAAAAUGAAGUGAUUUGGAUGUCGGAAAGUUGAGAUACGACGAGUUACAGGUUUAGCCAGAAUAUCGAAGGAUUUUUCGGCAAGUUCGGUCGGUUUUAGGACCUUUGAAAGUGAACGACGACGGCGACGACGACCGGCGAGUCUAACCGGAGAAGAAGAUAGAAUAUUUCGUCAAAGUUGACGGAAUAUUCUGACGCCGUCAAGUAAAAUUAAUGGAUUCCGUGAGACUUAUCCCGAGGACAAACGCAGUCAAGGGCAACUCGGGGGCUACAACCAUUCGACAUACCAGUUUUAGGUAAGCUUGCCGUUGCUGGGUAUGAGGAUUUCGGUGGUUCUGACAUAUUAAAAUAAUUAUAGGACAUCUUAUGGUA
Molecule: small RNA, 441 nt
Filed under: Malus domestica (apple)
Lineage: Eukaryota; Viridiplantae; Streptophyta; Magnoliopsida; Rosales; Rosaceae
Description: sRNA MD02G0230600
Source: RNAcentral